AACGCACCUUGCGCCCUUUGGUAUUCCAAAGGGCAUGCCUGUUUGAGUGUCAUUAAAUUAUCAACCUUUUCUUUUGUAAUGAUUGAUCAGGCUUGGAUGUGGGGGCUGCGGGUCUCUCAGAGAUCGGCUCCCCUUAAAUGCAUUAGUGGAACCCUUUGUGGAUCAUUAUUGGCGUGAUAAUUAUCUAUCCCAGUGAUCGUGAAGCAAGCCUAACAAGCACCAGGGUUUGGCUUAUAACCGUCCCUCUCUGGGACAAAUCUUCAUUUUAAUGUGACCUCAAAUCAGGUAGGACUACCCGCUGAACUUAA
This 308-nucleotide non-coding RNA is filed under the name Ampulloclitocybe sp. Its description in RNAcentral is "partial contains 5.8S ribosomal RNA, internal transcribed spacer 2, and large subunit ribosomal RNA". The stretch from base 1 to 52 matches the Rfam family "5.8S ribosomal RNA", at positions 103 to 154 of the family's 154-position model. RNAcentral also lists the same sequence under 2 other names. The record is from RNAcentral. Lineage: Eukaryota; Fungi; Basidiomycota; Agaricomycetes; Agaricales; Hygrophoraceae.